CUAAUGUCUUAAUAUCUUUUGUUUGCUCUUUGAUAAAUACAUUAAAUUUUCCUUCCUUCUUACCAUCCCCCAAACACAUACACAUUUACAUGUGUGUAUGUAUAUCAGUAAACACACUGACCUUGGAAGCCAAAGCAAUACGUAUUAAUAUUGCUGAAGAUGAGCAGUAUCUGGAAAACUGAGGGCUCUUGCCUUCUGUAGAUGUCUUAGAAAGGGAAUUCAGGAAAGAUUCUGAUUUUCUGGAGUCAUUAUAAAUGAGGACAGUAACGACCACUUAUGAGGAAUCUGACAACUAUGCAAGUGAAUGAACACAAUAAAGGGUUUCUUUCCAGCAAUGCAAGAUGAACAGGAUACCUGAUUCUGGCCGACAGUAUCUCUUGGCAAUGGGAUUCCUGAAUCAUUCAACAACUGCUACAUCUUUGUUAUCUGAGUGGCACUCAUCAUC
This 445-nucleotide long non-coding RNA is filed under the name Monodelphis domestica (gray short-tailed opossum). Its description in RNAcentral is "lncRNA (ENSMODG00000046708.1)". Lineage: Eukaryota; Metazoa; Chordata; Mammalia; Didelphimorphia; Didelphidae. The record is from RNAcentral.